UAGGCAAUACCAAGAGGAAAUGAACUAAUGAAGUGUGGGAUGUUGCCUUGGAACUCCUUUUCAAUACUGAGACAUUUUACUAACGGUUUAUGAAAUUUUGUUGCACCUGCAGCUGAAAAAUUUCACUGUAUAUGUGUAAGUGUAUCUGACAUCUAAUCUUCAAAAUCAUCUUGUUUUAUUAAUAGGAUCUUGAAGUUUGUUACCUUAGAACACUUCAAAAAUUUCUAGUAUUGAUGUUCCAUUGUAUUAAAUGUAGAGCAACUUGGUGUAAAUAUAAUGACAGAGAGUAAAUUUGGGUUACAGACGUGACUCCUUAACACAGUCUGUAGAAACACAGUAAAAGUCACUGAUAGAGGUCUUUUAAGGCAGUGCUUCUGCACCUUCCUAGUGCUGUAACCCUUUAAUACAGUUUCUCAUGUGCUGGUCACCCCCAACCAUAAAAUUACUUAAUUGCUAUUUCAUAAUUGUAAUUUUGCUACUGUUAUGAAUUGUAAUGAUAUUUGAUAUAAGAGCCACAAAAGGGUCACAACUACAGGUUGAGAAUCACUGUUUUAAUUUUUCAGCCUUUUGACAUGCUAGAUUGAAGUUUCUAUUCUUUACAAUGAGGGGAAAACAUUUCAGAGCAAACUGACAAUGGAAAUAAACUAUUUCCUUUUUCAUUAAUUCAUAGUUUUUAGCAUCUUCAAAAUCAUUUUAUUAGCUUGUUUGCCUGAUUAUGUUAGGUAAUGACUCUUCCAUAUAACUAGUUCUAGUGGUAUAAUAGUUUGUGUAUUGAAAGAAAUAAAAUUACGUCUCAGUUGAAUUCUUCAUAUCAAAUUUAUAAGUCAAAUUAUCCUUAGCCAUUAAAGACAGUCAUUUUUGUCUUUUUUAUGUAAAUUAUUCAAAUUUAUUCUCAGAAAAGAUAAGUAAACUGGUAAAUGUUUAAUAUGUUUCAGAAAAACUGAUGAGACAGUUUUUUAUGUGCUAUUAAGUGAUAGUUAUGAGCUAGUGAUAAAAGAACGUUAGCAAGGAUGUCGCUACAUCCUUGAUAAAAGAACAAAGGAGUUGGGGCUGGAAUAAUAGCUCAGUUGGUAAAGCCCUUGCCAUACAAGCUCCGGAGCAUGAGGGUGUGUCCCAGAGGUGUGGUGGCACACAUGUGUAAUCCCAGAGCUGGGGAGGUGGACCUCUCACUGCCAGCCAGUUUAGCCCAGUUGAAAUCCUGGCCAGCAAGAGAUGCUGCUUCAACAGAGGUGAACCGUGUUCCGGAGAGGAUAGCUAAACGAGGUUGGCUUCUGGCCUCCACCAUAGAAGCCUACACUAGCUCUUAGACAAGUGAACAAACCUGCUUUUUGCUGUCCCAGAGUACGAAUUUUUUUUUUUUUUUAAUGUUGCAAGUCUUAUUUUUUUUGUAAGUAAUUGUUAUUGAUAUGUAUUCUGUGGCUUAAAUUUUCUAAUGAGAUAAUCAAAAUUCCUAGAUUAAUUAUAUGUAGCUUUAAAGAGCCUGGUCUGCUGAGUAACUUAAUUUAGUGGUUUUCAUCUUUAUUUAAAUAAUGUGUUCAGCCUCUCUCUUUGGAUUUAACAGUAAACAGGUUGUAGUUUUGAAACAUUUUAAAUAUAGCAUUCAGGUUUAGCCAUUAUAGAAAUGAAAAUAAUACCACCAUGUGCUCCACAGUAAAGUUCCUCAGUAAUUGUUAGUUGACUGCCUUUUCCUGAUCACUGAAACUGAUUUGCUUGUUCUUCCGUAGAGAACGAUGCUGCUUUCUCACAUAGCCCAGUAGCCCUGACUUGAAACAUCUUAGUGAACAUGACUUGUAAAGAUCUGAAUUUUGUGUUUAAAACAUUAAGGCUGUAUUGUUCAUCUGGAUGGAUUUACAUCCAGAAAGAUAACUGUACUCACCCCACAUGCCGUGUACCUUCCACUGUAACCUUGGUUUGUGUGUGUGUGUUUUUUUCAUGAAUUACACUCAUCAGUGUUUUUUAAGUGCAGGAGGAUGUGGUAUUG
RNAcentral lists this long non-coding RNA (1981 nucleotides) under Mus musculus (house mouse). RNAcentral's name for it is "long non-coding RNA chr10:11302098-11304079". Lineage: Eukaryota; Metazoa; Chordata; Mammalia; Rodentia; Muridae. The record is from RNAcentral.